This 77-nucleotide transfer RNA is filed under the name Candidatus Saccharibacteria bacterium RIFCSPHIGHO2_12_FULL_41_12. RNAcentral describes it as "tRNA-His". It matches the Rfam family "tRNA". From Rfam's summary of the family: Transfer RNA (tRNA) molecules are approximately 80 nucleotides in length. Their secondary structure includes four short double-helical elements and three loops (D, anti-codon, and T loops). The record is from RNAcentral. Lineage: Bacteria; Candidatus Saccharimonadota.
GCGGGUGUAGCUCAGCUGGUUAGAGCGCCGGGUUGUGGUUCCGGAGGCCGUGGGUUCGAAACCCAUCACUCGCCCCA